GACGUAGGGCGCGAGCGUUGUCCGGAUUUAUUGGGCGUAAAGAGCUCGUAGGCGGCUUGUCGCGUCGAAUGUGAAAUCUCGGGGCUCAACUCCGAGCUUGCAUUCGAUACGGGCAGGCUAGAGUUCGGUAGGGGAGACUGGAAUUCCUGGUGUAGCGGUGAAAUGCGCAGAUAUCAGGAGGAACACCGGUGGCGAAGGCGGGGUCUCUGGGCCGAUACUGACGCUGAGGAGCGAAAGCGUGGGGAGCGAACAGG
This 254-nucleotide ribosomal RNA is filed under the name uncultured bacterium. RNAcentral describes it as "partial 16S ribosomal RNA". It matches the Rfam family "Bacterial small subunit ribosomal RNA", at positions 524 to 776 of the family's 1533-position model. The record is from RNAcentral.